RNAcentral lists this ribosomal RNA (440 nucleotides) under uncultured bacterium. Its description in RNAcentral is "partial 16S ribosomal RNA". It matches the Rfam family "Bacterial small subunit ribosomal RNA", at positions 338 to 795 of the family's 1533-position model. The record is from RNAcentral.
CCUACGGGAGGCAGCAGUGGGGAAUAUUGCACAAUGGGCGAAAGCCUGAUCCAGCGACGCCGCGUGAGUGAAGAAGUAUUUCGGUAUGUAAAGCUCUAUCAGUAGGGAAGAACAUGACGGUAAGUGACUAAGCAUCCCCGGCUAACUACGUGCCAGCAGCCCCGGUAAUACGUAGGGGGCAAGCUUUAUCCGGAUUUACUGGGGGAAAAGGGAGCGUAGUCGGCAGCCUAAGUCUGGAGGGAAAUGCCGGGGCUGAACCGCGGAGCGUCUUUGGAAACUGUGCGGCUAGAGGGCAGGAGAGGUGAGUGGAAUUCCUAGUGUAGCGGUGAAAUGCGUAGAUAUGAGGAGGAACACCAGUGGCGAAGGCGGCUUACUGGACUGUAACUGACGUUGAGGCGCGAAAGCGUGGGGAGCAAACAGGAUUAGAUACCCGAGUAGUC